UGAAACAAUUACAAAUACACCCCUCCCCGAAAACAGCCCAGUCUGCACUGCAUACCGGUACACGAGAUUGUGUACCAGUACACAUCCCACGAACCAGCCCAACCUGAGCCUCGGGUUGGCGCACAGGCUGCCAGUGUACCGGUACACGAUCCCGUACCGGUACACCCAUCACCGCGUACCGGUACAGCCAUCAACCUGUACCGGUACGCAGCCCUGCUGAAGGCUACCCGAGAGCACACAAAUCAUCC
This 248-nucleotide long non-coding RNA is filed under the name Ananas comosus (pineapple). Its description in RNAcentral is "long non-coding RNA (ACOM_LNC044641)". The record is from RNAcentral. Lineage: Eukaryota; Viridiplantae; Streptophyta; Magnoliopsida; Poales; Bromeliaceae.